RNAcentral lists this long non-coding RNA (673 nucleotides) under Struthio camelus australis. Its description in RNAcentral is "lncRNA (ENSSCUG00000011004.1)". The record is from RNAcentral. Lineage: Eukaryota; Metazoa; Chordata; Aves; Struthioniformes; Struthionidae.
CUAAGCUCAGUCCGCAACUACGUUACGUGUUCAAAGUGCUGUGAGGCACAGGUCAUUGAACCUUGCCAAAAGGUAUGAUAUUAUUGAAAAUUGUAACUUGGGGCCUAUUCUGUAACUUGUUUCCUUUAAGCUCUAGAAAGAAAACAGAAUUCAGGAGGAUUGGCCAACCGGCCUGUAAUUACCCCUUAUGCUGGGAGAGGCUGCUAACACCACUUGGCUUCAGAUUUGGGAGCGUAAGUGCGCAUCUGGAAGAAGAGGACUGUCCUAGCUGAGGAAGCAUGUGGUCUCUGUGACUUGGCAACUUGUAUGUCAUCAGUUACAGAGUGAAUUACCACAGGUACAGAACUUCUUGGAAACCUGCUGUGGAAUGGAUACAGCACAUCUUGACAGGAAAGGUGGUGUGAACACAUCAUGGCUUUGGUAUUUGAUGCUCUGGGCAAAGACUGCAAGACCAGGAAAAAUAAUCACCUGUAAGUAAUAUCUGCACUUAGUCACCAACCCUGGUAGUGUCUGUAUAGGCACGUACCACUGCUUACACUUAUGUAUUUUGCAAAUAAUUGAGCAAGGCAAUGAAUACAGCUAGUUUCAAUCAGAGAUUUUCGGUUGUAGUUGGAACUCUGAAGAACUGAACUUACUGAAACCGUAGUUGAGAUUGAACCUCAGAUUUUUUUUU